UGCAGUCGAACGAUGAAGCCCAGCUUGCUGGGUGGAUUAGUGGCGAACGGGUGAGUAACACGUGAGUAACCUGCCCUUAACUCUGGGAUAAGCCUGGGAAACUAGGUCUAAUACCGGAUAGGAGCGCCUACCGCAUGGUGGGUGUUGGAAAGAUUUAUCGGUUUUGGAUGGACUCGCGGCCUAUCAGCUUGUUGGUGAGGUAAUGGCUCACCAAGGCGACGACGGGUAGCCGGCCUGAGAGGGUGACCGGCCACACUGGGACUGAGACACGGCCCAGACCCCUACGGGAGGCAGCAGUGGGGAAUAUUGCACAAUGGGCGAAAGCCUGAUGCAGCGACGCCGCGUGAGGGAUGACGGCCUUCGGGUUGUAAACCUCUUUCAGUAGGGAAGAAGCGAAAGUGACGGUACCUGCAGAAGAAGCACCGGCUAACUACGUGCCAGCA
RNAcentral lists this ribosomal RNA (443 nucleotides) under uncultured bacterium. Its description in RNAcentral is "bacterial SSU rRNA". It matches the Rfam family "Bacterial small subunit ribosomal RNA", at positions 56 to 513 of the family's 1533-position model. The record is from RNAcentral.